GACGAACGCUGGCGGCGUGCCUAACACAUGCAAGUCGAGCGGAGAUGUACUGAAGAUUUAUCGGAUGUACAUCUUAGCGGCGGACGGGUGAGUAACGCGUGGGCAACCUGCCUUUCACUGGGGGAUAACACAGGGAAACCUGUGCUAAUACCGCAUGACAUCACGUAGGGCAUCCUAUGUGAUCAAAGGAGAGAUCCGGUGGAAGAUGGGCCCGCGUCCAAUUAGCUGGUUGGUGAGGUAAAGGCUCACCAAGGCGACGAUUGGUAGCCGAACUGAGAGGUUGAUCGGCCACAUUGGGACUGAGACACGGCCCAGACUCCUACGGGAGGCAGCAGUGGGGAAUAUUGCGCAAUGGGGGAACCCUGACGCAGCAACGCCGCGUGAAGGAAGAAGGUCUUCGGAUUGUAAACUUCUUUGAUGAGGGACGAAUAAAGUGACGGUACCUCAAAACAAGCCACGGCUAACUACGUGCCAGCAGCCGCGGUAAUCAUUCGUA
RNAcentral lists this ribosomal RNA (496 nucleotides) under uncultured bacterium. RNAcentral's name for it is "bacterial SSU rRNA". It matches the Rfam family "Bacterial small subunit ribosomal RNA", at positions 28 to 529 of the family's 1533-position model. The record is from RNAcentral.